ACGGGAGUUUUUAACUCUAGUGGCGGACGGGUGAGUAACACGUGAGAAUUUGCCUUUAGGAGGGGGACAACAACUGGAAACGGUUGCUAAUACCCCAUAUGCUUUCGAGUGAAAUGGAUUUCCGCCUAAAGAGAAGCUUGCGGCUGAUUAGCUUGUUGGUGAGGUAAUGGCUUACCAAGGCGACGAUCAGUAUCUGGUUUGAGAGGACGAUCAGACACACUGGAACUGAGACACGGUCCAGACUCCUACGGGAGGCAGCAGUGGGGAAUUUUCCGCAAUGGGCGAAAGCCUGACGGAGCAAUACCGCGUGAGGGAUGAAGGCCUAUGGGUUGUAAACCUCUUUUUUCAGGGAGGAAUAAAUGACGUGUACCUGAAGAAUAAGCAUCGGCUAACUCCGUGCCAGCAGCCGCGGUAAGACGGGGGAUGCAAGUGUUAUCCGGAAUCACUGGGCGUAAAGCGUCUGUAGGUGGUUAAAUAAGCCAACUGUUAAAUCUUGAGGCUUAACUUCAAAAUCGCAGUCGAAACUGUUUGACUAGAGUAUAGUAGGGGUAAAGGGAAUUUCCAGUGGAGCGGUGAAAUGCGUAGAUAUUGGAAAGAACACCGAUGGCGAAGGCACUUUACUGGGCUAUUACUAACGCUGAGAGACGAAAGCUAGGGUAGCAAAUGGGAUUAGAUACCCCAGUAGUCCUAGCUGUAACAAUGGAUACUAGAUGUUGAACAGAUCGACCUGUGCAGUAUCAAAGCUAACGCGUUAAGUAUCCCGCCUGGGAAGUAUGCUCGCAAGAGUGAAACUCAAAGGAA
Molecule: ribosomal RNA, 801 nt
Filed under: uncultured bacterium
Lineage: Bacteria
Description: bacterial SSU rRNA
Rfam family: Bacterial small subunit ribosomal RNA
Source: RNAcentral